CUAGUUGGUAGGGUAACGGCCUACCAAGGCUUUGAUCGUUAGCUGGUCUGAGAGGAUGGCCAGCCACACUGGAACUGAGACACGGUCCAGACUCCUACGGGAGGCAGCAGUGGGGAAUCUUGCACAAUGGGCGAAAGCCUGAUGCAGCGACGCCGCGUGGGGGAUGAAGCUUUUCGGAGUGUAAACCCCUUUCGAUCCGGACGAAUGCCUCGCAAGAGGAGUGACGGUACGGAUAUAAGAAGCCCCGGCUAACUACGUGCCAGCAGCCGCGGUAAUACGUAGGGGGCCAGCGUUGUUCGGAAUUACUGGGUGUAAAGGGUUCGUAGGCGGUGCGGCAAGUUGGGAGUGAAAUCUCUGGGCUCAACCCAGAGACGGCUUCCAAAACUGCCGUGCUUGAGUGUGAGAGAGGCUCGUGGAAUUGCAGGUGUAGCGGUGAAAUGCGUAGAUAUCUGCAGGAACACCCGUGGCGAAAGCGGUGAGCUGGAUCACUACUGACGCUGAAGAACGAAAGCUAGGGGAGCAAACAGGAUUAGAUACCCUGGUAGUCCACGCCAUAAACGAUGAGAACUAGACGUUGAGAGGGUAAGCCUCCCAGUGUCGUAGCUAACGCGCUAAGUUCUCCGCCUGGGGAGUACGGCCGCAAGGUUGAAACUCAAAGGAAUUGACG
Molecule: ribosomal RNA, 667 nt
Filed under: uncultured bacterium
Lineage: Bacteria
Description: SSU rRNA
Rfam family: Bacterial small subunit ribosomal RNA
Source: RNAcentral